This 233-nucleotide unclassified non-coding RNA is filed under the name Hevea brasiliensis (rubber tree). The record is from RNAcentral. Lineage: Eukaryota; Viridiplantae; Streptophyta; Magnoliopsida; Malpighiales; Euphorbiaceae.
AGGAAAUUAAGUUUCUUUACCAGCAAUUAAAACACCCAAGAAGUUUUAUAUGUACUUCUUCUAAUGAGAAGGGAAAUGGUUGAAGCUAUAUUGUAUUAACUGCUUCCUAUAACAAAGUGGGAGUUUAUCCUUCUUGCCCCUUAAUUCCUCCCAUAUUGGGUGUGCUGGGUUCUUUCCCUCCUCACUUUGGACAUAACAAGCUAUUUUAACACAUGAGAACUAUGAUUAAGAAC